CUUUAUCUAAAUUAAUUUAUAAUUGUAUUCACUGAGCUUUAUGUAUUCUUUGUGAUGAGAGAUGAGGCAUCAAGAAAGGCUUCUUUGGAUUCUGGGAUUCCUUCCCCUCACUAUCACUGGACAUACACGCUCAGAUUUUAAAAUGCCAAUUGAAAGUUAAAGCACAUUUUAAAAAAUCUGGAAUGCAUAAUUAAACCAAAUGGUUAGUUUUACUUGCUAUUAUGUGCAUAUAUAAGCAUUUUAAUUGUAUUCAGUUCUAUAAAAUAGAAACAUUUAGUUUUUUCUUUUUCCUUCAGCUUUCCAAAGAGAUAUUUACAGUACAUUCUUAGAUGUGAGAGUGGGCUAAAACACAGUCUUAUAAAUAGGACCAAAUUUCAUUGACUUAGAAGAAAAAUUCACCACUAAGUGGGCGUGUAUGUGUGUGUCUGUUGUUUUUGUGCCCAUACAUUGUAAUCCAUCUUCAGGCUCUGAAAUGAUAAGAGUAUUUUUGUGGAUCUCAUGGAAUUCAUUUACAGUCUCAGCAUGAAGGAAAAUCUCUUCACAUCAACAUAUUAGAGUAUAUAGUGGGAAGAAGUAACAAAGCUCUAAUUUUAGUACUGAAGAUUGGUUGAUUUUCUAUCUUUUAAUCUUUCUUUCCUCAUAGACCUCGCAUCCCCUGCCAGUAAACCUCCACUAUUAAAAUAUGAAAAAGCUCAAGGGACAGGCAGCUGGAUUUUCUCUCUAAAUUGCUCACUUGCAUGCACUGCCAGCUGCCAAUAUCAAGUGUUCAUCCCUGUCUCAUGACUUGCCAUUGACCUCAGUGGAAUAAACCACCGGUUGUGUGCCUAAUCCUGACUUAUCCCUGGAUCAGGGGUGUGCAAUAAAUACCAAGGGCUUAGUGAAGCCUAGGAGAGACCACCCAGGCAUUAAUUAGGCCAUUAGGUGAAAAAUGGAAUCCAGCAACAUACAUCAGAAAUAAAGCCAGAAGACCCACUGGAAACUAGUCUGGGAACAAACAAACGAACAGAAAAUCCUGGGCCAGCAAUACUAAACCUGUUUCAGUUAAAGAAGGUUUAAAUGAAGAUCCCUCAGUAGUGUUAAUAAAGACUGAGAGCAAACUGUCUCUGAUAUUUGGCAUUCAGCACAUUUCCUUGUAAGCACCCAAUGAAUCUCUGGAGGAUAAUUGCAAGAAUGAAUGUGAAUGUUGAAAGCCCAAUUUAGUGUUACAUCCUCCACUUUGACUCUAUUUUCCUGCAUGCCUACUUCUAUCUUCUUUCACUCUUGUCUUUUCUCUCUCUGCCUCUCUCUCAACUGAUAUUUUCUCCUUCCUCAUCCUUGUGACAUGGCAAUAUCAUGACCCACCUCCUGAGUUAAUAUCAUCUCUGUUGCAAAGACCAACCCAAAUGGCACCAAAUUUCUUAGUACAAAUUCCAUAUAAUCUGUACCCCCACCUUCUCAAAAAAAAGUACUGGAGUUAACUUAAAAAAAUGCUUUGACAUUUGAAUCCAGGCUAUUCAAAAGGAAUUUAAAAUUGGGUCAGGAAUCAUAUAAAGAAAGUAAGAUAAUGAAAUGAAAUAGUCAUCAUAACUGACACGUAACUUUACCUGGCAGGCAAGAUGAUUAGGGGAACAUUAUAGAUCAUAAACUGUCACUACCUAAUAGAAGGUAUUUUCAUUUUUUAAAAACCAGGUCUUAUCAUAAUGCUUUACAUAUAGUAGAUAUUCAGUAAACAAUUGUCAAAUGAUUGAAAGAAGGUCAAGAGUUUCAUGGAGAAAAUGUGACAUAUGCACACAGAAAGACACCAAAUAUGAUAUAGGCCUCUGUAAGUAUUUUUCACUCGGAAUACAAAAGGGGCUACUUCAGCCAUGUCUAUACAAGAUGCAGACAUCUUUUCUAUAAGGAUUCUGAUAUGAGCUGAGAGAUACCAUUAGACAGUAGUUCAGAGAAGGCAUGAGUCCUACUUACAACAAAUUUGGCUGUAUAUAGCAGAAAUGGACUCAAGUGGACCCAAACUAGUGGUGCAUGUAUCUUUUUGAAUGAGUGUUUUGUCCAGAUAUAUGCCCAGGAGUGGGCUUGCUAGAUCAUAUAUCUUUUUUUUUUUUUUGAAAAUUAAAAACUUGGCUUGUAUUCUCACUUAAAAAGUCAUCCUACCUUUAAAUGGAAAUGGGCCUCAGAUGGACUUAAGCAUGGAGUCCAAAUUUUCUACAGAAAAGAACUUAAAGUCUGCUCUAAAUCCUGCAUGAGAACCCAGAGAUCACACCCACUCCCCUGAUAAACAGGUUAUUGGAUAUAAAAGAGAUAUUUUGACCUUGGGAACUUUACUGGGAGGUGUUAAAGUCGACUGCCAUUUAGCACCAUAGCACCAUUCUGGCCCUGAGGAAUGUCUGGGUCAGAGAUGAGGGGCAGAAGACAUGUGAUGACAUCAGAUUCCCAAAUAUCUUUCCCUUGAAAGCACUUAUGUCAUAGGUGUCAUAGCUCAUAAUG
RNAcentral lists this long non-coding RNA (2463 nucleotides) under Sus scrofa (pig). Its description in RNAcentral is "lncRNA (ENSSSCG00055004864.1, ENSSSCG00105005488.1)". Lineage: Eukaryota; Metazoa; Chordata; Mammalia; Artiodactyla; Suidae. The record is from RNAcentral.